Caenorhabditis elegans is the source of this 101-nucleotide non-coding RNA. The record is from Ensembl. Lineage: Eukaryota; Metazoa; Nematoda; Chromadorea; Rhabditida; Rhabditidae.
AUAAAAGAUUACAUUGAAAAACCGGUCAUUGAUAUCAGUUCGAUCAUCACCACGGUCUUCACGAAAAGAAGGAGAAAUAUCGAGAUGAUUUAACAUUGAGA